GACGAACGCUGGCGGCGUGCCUAAUACAUGCAAGUUGAGCGAUGAAGCUUGGUUCGUUCACCAAAUUGAAGAGCAGCGAAAGGGUGAGUAGCGCGUGGGGAAGCUGCCUGUGAGCGGGGAACAACGGUUGGAAACGAAUACUAAGACCGCAGAACAACGUUAAACAUAAGUUUUAAGUAUAGAAGAUGCAAUUUAAUCACUCGAAGAUGAUCCCUCGUUGUAUUAGCUAGUUGGUGAGGUAAAGGCUCACCAAGGCGAUGAUACAUAGCCGACCUGAGAGGGUGCUAGGCCACAUUGGGCUUGGGACACGGACCACACUACUACGGCAGGCAGCCGUAGCGAACCUUCGGCAAUGGAAGAAAGUCUGACCGAGCAACGACGCGUGAGUGCCGAAGGCUGUCGGAUCGUAAAACUCAGUUGGUAGAGCAGAACGUUGGUGAGAGUGGAAAGCUAAUAAAGUGACGGUAACUACUCAGAAAGGCACGGCUAACUACGUG
This 497-nucleotide ribosomal RNA is filed under the name uncultured bacterium. Its description in RNAcentral is "partial 16S ribosomal RNA". It matches the Rfam family "Bacterial small subunit ribosomal RNA", at positions 28 to 507 of the family's 1533-position model. The record is from RNAcentral.